This 64-nucleotide transfer RNA is filed under the name Cavia porcellus (domestic guinea pig). It matches the Rfam family "tRNA". Rfam says of the family: Transfer RNA (tRNA) molecules are approximately 80 nucleotides in length. Their secondary structure includes four short double-helical elements and three loops (D, anti-codon, and T loops). The record is from Rfam by way of RNAcentral. Lineage: Eukaryota; Metazoa; Chordata; Mammalia; Rodentia; Caviidae.
GGGGAUUUAGCUCAGUGGCAUAAGCACCUGCCUUGCAAGCAGACGGUCGUGAGUUCAAUCCCCG